UUUAUCACUGUAAAGUAAUUAAAAUAUAACUGACGAUAUUUAGUACUGGAUAUACACAAAAAUAGAAUAAAUCAGGAUUUAUUUUUUCACAGCACUGUACACCAGCAUUUAUGUUUAGUGUGACAUUAAUGUGUGAAAAUUGAAUUUUUUUUAGUGUGUGAUUGCUAUUUUCAGGAAAAUGCACUGGUAACAACUAAAAUAAAGAAGACCAAAAAUAUAAUUCAACAGAAGAUGAUGGCUGUGCUGAAACAAGCACUCAAAUAAUGGAACUAAGACCUGUGGGAGUGCUGGAGAAAUCAAGUGUAUAAGUCCUCUGUCGUCUCAGCCAUGGAAGAGAUCUUCAGACAUGAAGAGAUUGAGUCAAAGAGCUAAAAGAAAAUGUACAAUAUUAGUGCCAAUUCAGCAUGAAAACAGAGAGAGAUCUGAGGGAGUGGAAAGAAAUGCGUGUUAUUGUGCAAGGGGUAGCUGCAUGGACUAUCAGUGGAGGGACAGAAACCUCUGAGAUUUCACUAUAAAGAUCUUCAUUUGUGUUCUGAAGAUGAACGAAAGACUUGCUGGUUUGGAACGAUAUGAGGACUACAUCAAAAAUAGUGUUUCCACAUCUGAGAUGAAGGCAGUCAUAAGAACCAAGCGGAACGAUGAGGAUAAGCUCACCAAAAAAUGAAACCUGUCUGAAUAAUGAGGGAAGAAAUGUGCAUGAUUGCGUGAUUUGUAAAUAAACACUAAAUACAUUUAGUGUAACUCAGCCUGUUAUUUUAAGUUUAAAGAAAAGUAAAAUAAUUUGUUGCAUUGCUGUUUGAGACAUUCACUG
This is a long non-coding RNA of Onychostoma macrolepis, 811 nucleotides long. RefSeq lists it as uncharacterized. NCBI's taxonomy places the organism in Eukaryota, Metazoa, Chordata, Actinopteri, Cypriniformes, Cyprinidae. The record is from RefSeq and is a predicted model, not a curated record. The transcript is spliced from 4 exons.